AAUAAAACAAAAACAAAAACGAAAAUUCAUCCGAAAUCCAAAUUGAAGUGAACUUUUUUAAACGUGGGUUCGCCUCGAAAUAAAAUGUUACCGCCGGUGAGGGAGAAAAAAGAAGGAUAGAAGAAGUAAAGGAGAAGUCACAUAAACAUUUUAUUUAAACAAGAACAAAGUUUGAAAAUGGAUAAAAGGAAAUAUGGUAGGUAAUGCUUGAUCCAAGGUGGAAGAAGGAGUAAAGAAGGGAAAAAAGUAAAAGAAGAAAGAAAGAAACAUAGGAAUGUGACUGGCAGCGGGAUUGAGAUCAAGGGUUUUUGCCUCCACAGGUUUUAAUAGUCAUGUUUAUCAAUGUUCUCACUACAUCGCCAUAUCCAUUAUGGGGAAUAAAGGGCAUUACGUGCUUUAAGGCAUUUUUAAUGCAGAUAUCAGCUAGGUAAGGACUCAACCCGUCAAGGCGGGAGCAGCAAGAAGAAGAGUUCAGCCCAUAAAACAGUCUGGCACACUCAAUAUACAACGUAUAUGUACUUAUAGGACAUUGAUCAUCAACAUCUUGAGACCUCACCAUUGAGACUGAUACCAGACUCAGAUAGAGGAACACUGCCAAAACAUAUUUCAUCCAAN
RNAcentral lists this long non-coding RNA (615 nucleotides) under Vigna radiata. Its description in RNAcentral is "long non-coding RNA (VRAD_LNC003324)". Lineage: Eukaryota; Viridiplantae; Streptophyta; Magnoliopsida; Fabales; Fabaceae. The record is from RNAcentral.